GUGCAGUGGCAGAUGGGUGAAGCAUUCUAUUCGCGUUGGCAAUACAUCCUUCAGCGGGCUUUGAUGGUGAUUGGCGAACAUUGAUCUCCUUGUCUGCUUCUAGUUUCUAAAGAAGGAUGCAGCUGACCGACCCUGUUUGUCAUCUAUAAUUCGCUAAUAAUAAAAUGAAAAGAUCGCACCUCCUUUAGUGUCACAAAAUUUAUAUUAGUCCAUGUACUUUUAAACUCGUCAGUUAAACCCUUGUACUUCGAGCAACUGUUUUUCAGACCCAUGUAUGUUGAGAAAUACCCAUGAAGGUACUUGUAUCCAUCAGUUAUUAUA
Phragmites australis (common reed) is the source of this 321-nucleotide long non-coding RNA. RefSeq lists it as uncharacterized. The transcript is spliced from 2 exons. The record is from RefSeq and is a predicted model, not a curated record. Lineage: Eukaryota; Viridiplantae; Streptophyta; Magnoliopsida; Poales; Poaceae.